GUUCUAUGGUAGUGAAGCUUUUUGGGUUUUUUGUUCUGUUUUCUGAAACAGGUCUCGCAUAUUCUUGUCUGGCCUACAAUUCAAUUUGAAGAAAAGACCAGCCUUUACUUUGCAGAGAUUUUCUUGCUUCUGCCUCCCGAGGGCUGAGACUACAAGCUUGUCAUUUGCACAAAUAACGGAUGGACUGUCAUCGCUCUGCAAAAUUAUCUGAGCACAGCUUUGGACAUGCUCAGAGAACUAAAAGGACAUUUUGCAUUAUCUGAUCACUUUUCAACUUAAACACACACUUCCUCAGGCCAGAGUAAGGAGCAAGCCUAAGAAGACAACCAGACUGGCAACGUGGGGCCCAGAUAGAAAGCUAACCUGAUAUGGACACUAGUCUGGAGCCAUGCAGAGAGGCAUAUCAUGUCCAAGAUGACCCCUGCCUGGUGCCAUAAUGUACAAGUAAGCCAUAACACUCCUGAGACUGCUCCUGGACACCACUAAGAAGAACAAGUAGGUGGUGGAAAAUGAAAGAGAAAGAGAAACAGGAUUACGCACAAUGAAGAGGGGCAGAACUGGAGACUUGACGGUAGUGAAGAACAGCCUGAUGAAAAUUCUGUGAUCAUACCCUAUACUCCAUCACCCAGGAAGAGUUGGCCUGAAAGAAUGAUAAAGUGCCUUACAGAAAACCAAAUUAAGAAACCUUCAAAAGAGUUCCAUUGAGCAUGGCAUGAAGAAAUUGGCAUCACCUACCAGGUCCCAAUCAGGCCAUCUGCCCCUAUAUUUAAAGGGUAUUAUGAUGCAUUCUACGCCGGAAAAUUUCUUGCAUGAGAAUGUGUGCACCUGCAAGAUUAUUUGGCUUUAAGAGACUGCUUUCCAUAUUACCAAUUCUUCCUCAUUUCCAGAAAUUAUCUUAAAUACCAUCUCCUCAAAAGUUCUCCAAUGAUCAUUUUAUAAAAUUAAUAUUUCCUGU
Molecule: long non-coding RNA, 955 nt
Organism: Mastomys coucha (southern multimammate mouse)
Lineage: Eukaryota; Metazoa; Chordata; Mammalia; Rodentia; Muridae
Exons: 6
Source: RefSeq, a predicted model, not a curated record